This 486-nucleotide long non-coding RNA is filed under the name Medicago truncatula (barrel medic). RNAcentral describes it as "long non-coding RNA (MTRU_LNC008575)". The record is from RNAcentral. Lineage: Eukaryota; Viridiplantae; Streptophyta; Magnoliopsida; Fabales; Fabaceae.
GUAAAUUGAACAUAAGUAAACUUAAUUUACAUUAACCUAAAUUGAACAUAAGUAAACUUAAUUUACAUUAACCUAGAUUGAACGUAAGUAAACUGAAUUUACAAACUUAAUUUACAUUAACCUAGAUUGAACGUAAGUAAACUGGAUUGAACGUAAGUAAACUGAAUUUACAAACUUAAUUUACAUUAACCUAGAUUGAACGUAAGUAAACUGAAUUUACAUUAACCUAGAUUGAACAUAAGUAAACUUAAUUUACAUUAACUUAGAUUGAACGUAAGUAAACUGAAUUUACACUAACCUGUUAUAUACAUACGUAAACUAAAUUUACAUUAACCUAAAUUGAACAUAAGUAAACUUAAUUUACAUUAACCUAGAUUGAACGUAAGUAAACUGAAUUUACACUAACCUAAAUUGAACAUACGUAAACUUGAAUUUACAUUAACCUACAUACGUCAACUACACUAACCCCUUUUAUAUACAUACACG